AUCCCUGCCCUUUCUGCGAGCCACUUACAGUCAUUUUCCAGGAAUGCUGGUGAUCCGCAGCUGGUUGACUGGCUAAGAGAACAUGGAGCAGAUGAUUAUACAAUAGACAGGUUUCUUGCAGAGGAUUACAGACUUUGUGAUAUUCACUACUACGUAACACGUGAAGACUUGAAGUGCUUACGACUGAGAGGAGGGGUAAUUUGCAAGCUGUGGAAGGCCAUUACAGAGUAUAGAAAGAAGCACUCUUGCUGAUGGCAUGGCACCACUCUGUCAGGAGUUUUCUGUGCAAGACAUGAGACAAGAAUUGCACAGAUGUGGUAUUCUCUUAGAGAGACAGCUGCACUUUAUUUUCUGUAUUUAUUAAAUGCACACACAGUCCCGUCUCCAUACACUGCUCGGAUGUUUUGUUCUUGUACCUGAGAAAAAAAUGCUUUAUGAAAAAAAAAAAAAAAAGGUAAAACUGGUAUUUAAAAGUACAAAGGAGGUUCACUGAGCAUAGAAAUGCCCACAGGCUUCAGUACUAUAGUUUAUCAUCAUCUAGACUUUUAGAAAUAAUGGCUGUUUCUACAUUAUUUUAUUUCAUUGUAUUUUACCAGAUGAAUUCCAAACUGACCUGUUUUAGCUUGUUCUAAGAAAAAAAGGAAGAGCAACCAACAGUGACAGAGUUUUACCCAGACACUUCUGUGGACACAGAUGACGGAAACACAUGACAGAGUGGUAAUCAAGUAUUUAGUAUUCAGUGCUGUAAACCCAACUGGCAUAGAGAGGCACAUAACACAAUGUAGCUCCAGUAGAUAAAGCCAUGUAUAAUACACGCCAACCCUGCAGGAUGAGAGAGAGGCACAUCACUUCACAUAUUAUUUAAUGUGACACAAACAUUCAUGACAUGCAGGCUAAGAGAUAUGUAAGACUGGGCUGUGCAUCAGGGUACAGUAAUGUGCAAAGCGGUAUGUUUAUUCUGGUCCUAUUUCCACAUAAAUGUACUGUCACAAAGUCCACAAUAACAUCCAAUAGACCCCACAAUGGCUGCAUCUGUAGAUAUAAAAUUUGCUGUAAGCUUCCACAUAGGUAAAAUCUGUAGAAAAUUUAUUUGGUGAGUGCUUUCGUGGCAUAGAUACACCACUUCAUCAGACCUGUUACUAAUAAAACAUCUAGCACUUAUAUAUCCACGUUAGUUAAAAAAACAACCAAUCAUCAGUCAGCAAUUAUUAACUUGAAUGCACCUUCCUUCAAGGCUAAUACAUCAUUACUAAGAGCUAACAAUUUAAAAAUAUAUGCUAUACAUCCUUGUCAGUUAAAAGACAUUCUAUAAAAAUAUAUAUAUAUCAAAAAUACAUACAUUACAAUAUACCACUAAAUAAAUUUUCUACAGAUACAGCCAUUGUGGGGUCUGUUGGAUGUUAUUGUGGAAAUUGUAUCUUUCUUUUUUAUUCAAGGACCCUGUUCUACUGCUAACGACUUGCCUUGUGUUUGGAUAUUUGUACUGUCACAAAGAUCAAGAACUACCUUUAAAAUGUGCCAGUGCAACCUAAGAUGUCAUUUAAAAGGACAAACAGCAUCCAGUUUUGCCAAUAUUAUUUCUUUGACGUGUAAAUGAAGAACUUGCUACCUGUGGCAUUUCAGAAAGGAAAUGUGUAAGGCUUGCCAUCUCAGUUUCAGAAUGUGUUGAAUUUUUUGUUUUAAAAGGUAUCGAAUUAAAUAAAUUAUGUAGGAGACAUGAACAUUUUAAGCCACUGCAGGGCAAUUUUAAGUUGUGAAAAUUGUAAAGAAAAAAACACGAGGCAUACUGACAAUUGCCUCAGUCCUGUAGCAUAUUAUUUAGUUGCUUGAUAAAGGUUCCUUUUGGGUCACAAUUUGGAUUUCAUAGUUUCUAUAAUUUAAUCAUGAGACAAAAUAACACAGGUAUGCACCAAAUAUUUGACACAGUAAAGUGUCAUUUUUAAUAUAUUUAGUACAUAACAGUAGAUGUUCUUCAUCUCACAUUGCUGCAGUCCUUAC
Molecule: long non-coding RNA, 1998 nt
Organism: Protopterus annectens (West African lungfish)
Lineage: Eukaryota; Metazoa; Chordata; Ceratodontiformes; Protopteridae
Exons: 3
Source: RefSeq, a predicted model, not a curated record